Molecule: non-coding RNA, 30 nt
Filed under: Mus musculus (house mouse)
Lineage: Eukaryota; Metazoa; Chordata; Mammalia; Rodentia; Muridae
Source: RNAcentral
UCUUUGUUCAUCCUGCCUACUGCUCAGACA